This 628-nucleotide ribosomal RNA is filed under the name uncultured Russulaceae. RNAcentral describes it as "LSU rRNA". It matches the Rfam family "Eukaryotic large subunit ribosomal RNA", at positions 47 to 649 of the family's 3401-position model. The record is from RNAcentral. Lineage: Eukaryota; Fungi; Basidiomycota; Agaricomycetes; Russulales; Russulaceae.
UAAGCGGAGGAAAAGAAACUAACAAGGAUUCCCCUAGUAACUGCGAGUGAAGCGGGAAAAGCUCAAAUUUAAAAUCUGGUGGUCUUUGGCCAUNCGAGUUGUAAUCUAGAGAAGCGUCUUCCGCGCUGGACCGUGCACAAGUCUCCUGGAACGGAGCGUCGUAGAGGGUGAGAAUCCCGUCUUUGGCAUGGACACACCAGGGCUUUUGUGAUGCGCUCUCGAAGAGUCGAGUUGUUUGGGAAUGCAGCUCAAAAUGGGUGGUGAACUCCAUCUAAAGCUAAAUAUUGGCGAGAGACCGAUAGCGAACAAGUACCGUGAGGGAAAGAUGAAAAGCACUUUGGAAAGAGAGUGAAACAGUACGUGAAAUUGUUGAAAGGGAAACGCUUGAAGUCAGUCGCGUCGACCGAGACUCAGCCUCGCCUCGGCUUGGUGUACUUCUCGGCCCGACGGGUCAGCAUCAAUUUCGCCUCUUGGAUAAUGGCGAGGGAAACGUGACACCUUUACGGUGUGUUAUAGUCUCUCGUCGCAUGCAAGGGUCGGGAUUGAGGAACUCAGCACGCGCCUUUGGGCGUCGGGGCUUUGCCUACGAUACGUGCUUAGGAUGUUGGCGUAAUGGCUUUAAACGACC